This 1096-nucleotide long non-coding RNA is filed under the name Volvox carteri. RNAcentral's name for it is "long non-coding RNA (VCAR_LNC004306)". Lineage: Eukaryota; Viridiplantae; Chlorophyta; Chlorophyceae; Chlamydomonadales; Volvocaceae. The record is from RNAcentral.
UUGUCCAGCACUCAGUAACGCCCCCGAGUGCCAAGUCCAGGUCGGCGACAAAUGCCUGAUGACACAGCAUUCCCGGCCUCUUCGCCACGGAGGUCCAAAGCCCAAGUACAACAUUGGUCCAAUGGAACUGGAGCGGCGUCUGUGACAGUUCACGGUUUAGGGAAGCCAUAGUCGGGCUCCUCGCCCCAACUACAGAUCGCAUGUGCGCGCGCUGCUCCUGGACCAUGGGAUUAGUCAAAGCGCCUUCAAAACUUACAUUCAUGAAGUCAGGUCCCCAAACUUGCGCUCCUUAGAAAAAACACCUGUACAACUAGUGUAUUAAAGAGAGACAUACAUAGCUUGGGAAUGGUAAUUUCCUUAUCUCGACACAGAGUGCUGAGCCCGAACGUGGCCCGCCUCCCUGCUGCGAGUAGUUGCUUUGCACAUGCUGAAAACUGCGCUCCUGGGCCGUAGUGCAACCCGGCACCUCGGCUACCCGGUACUCAGCUUCCAUUAGCCGCUUCCGCUCACGUGUAGUGCCCCCGAAAAUGAGGACUUCACACUUGGCGGCUUUGCGGCCAUUCCCGUCGCUUUGCAGUAGGCUUCGAGGAGCCCCAGAAGGCAUUCAGCUCUAUAGUGCCCAGUCGCCACCAGUGACACAUCAUCAACGAAAACCAGGUUGGUGAGUUCACCGGCCGCCAGGCUAACACUCACAUGCAAGGCAUAAGCCAUACUGCCACAGGUAUCAAACACGUCCGGGUCAUGCAAGAUGGACAUCACCAACCUACCGAGCUAGCCGCCCUGCACAGCUCACCGGCGGAUUGUCCAGUUUGCGUCAGAGCCCGGUUCAUUCACCGGGUUGUGUUCAUCCGAUAUUUGUCAACCACAGAUGCCUCCUCCCCGCCGCGAGCUGGAGAGGGAAGCCGUGCUAGCCCCGCACAGCGCUGACCAAGUACGCGGCUGGGCCUGGUGGGCACUAAUAGGAGCCGCACGACGGUAGGUAUUGCAGUGUUGAGCACUUGCAGGCGGUGCAGGGUGUAGUGAGCCGAGCUUGCAUGUUGGCAGGAGGGACGUGUGCCACACAGCCAGAGGACUGAUGGUGCGCGGUGAAGCAGUG